GAUCCAGAGAAGACAACUGUUACCGAAACACCUCCGCAUGCAAGGGUUUUGCAGGACAUUUCGCAAUGAUGCUUGACAACUGUGCCAGAAUGCCAAGCGAAGCGGAAAAGCAUGUGUUGCAAAGAAAAAGAUUACAUGGUGUAUCGAAGCCCCAACACCAGCUGACAGGUCCGAGUUGUCAUCCCGUUGCGUAUUGUUCUCCGGAUAUACUAGGAGUUUCCUGAUCAAGCUGGUCAUCAUGUUGGUAAUCAGGCGAGUCAUCACGUU
Molecule: long non-coding RNA, 267 nt
Organism: Misgurnus anguillicaudatus (oriental weatherfish)
Lineage: Eukaryota; Metazoa; Chordata; Actinopteri; Cypriniformes; Cobitidae
Source: RefSeq, a predicted model, not a curated record